CGUGAACAAAACAAUAACAACAGCUGCUGCUUAUUAUUUCCCUGCUCAGAUGUCAGUGGCUGACAUCCAGAGGUUAUUCGCUCGGAUGGAUUUCAGAGAAUUUUAUCACUUCUCAACGCUCUAAAAAUAGUAAUAUCAGCAGCGACUCUGAGACCGCAAACACUUUAUAUUUAACAGAAGGUUGCGAAGGUUACAUCUAUUAAUUUCACAGUGAAGGCGAUGGAAAGCUGAGAGUGAAAUGUAUUGUCCUUUCAGUGAUGAAUGUGAUUCUGUGUUGCAGUAAAUCUGAGCAUCGCAGGCAGACGCUCCUGAUGAACAGACAAUAACACUGAUGCAUCGUUUCCAGGAAAGUCCUCCGUGAUAUCGACCCCUCCUUUGCACUUAUUAAAGACACAGCGAGGUGCAAUCAGAAUACAGAAAAGCACCGGCAGAAUCACUUUCAUCUGUAAUUCACAAUCGACAGAAUCAGGACUACAUCAGGGAUUGAUUCUCUGUCUGCUGGAAAAACAUCACGUGACACAUGUUUUGCUGAAACUAAGACACACAGAGUCUCCCCGUGACUCCCGUCAGCGCCUGAUUGGGCGGAAUCUCGUCGCCGUAACCAUGGCGACUGCCCACAGAGCACCUGGAGUGGUGACGCAGGCGUCGCUAUGACUCCUGAAGGACGGAGCGGUGAUAUAAAUAGAAAAAGAGAUAAGAAACGGGGGGAUAUUUGGGGAAGAUGAUGGCAGCUGUGACCCACACACACACACACACACUAGAGCCACAGGUGUGCCACUGACUGAAUGCCAGUGGGAAUGGCUCUCAAUGUGACUUUGGAAACUCGUCACCAGCAGGGAUUUCACUGUCAAUCCGACUGUAACAGGAGACGUGGAGCACUAAAGUGUGUCGUCCCACAGGAAAAUGAUGAAUAUUGCUCAGACGAGGCUCUCUUACAGCUCAGGAGACUCUCUUACAGCUCAGGAGACUCUUGUUUUAAGGAUGAGCUUUGUCUCAGAUGUUUCUUUUUAGAAAUGGAAGUAAAAACUAGAAUAUUUACAUUUUCUGAAGGAAAUAUUGUGUUUUAACAUGAAGAGGGGAAAGGGUUCUUACAGUAAACUAAAACUAGCACAAUAGAAAAUUGUUAAUUAAAAUACAAAGCUUUAAUUAAAAUAAAAUAAAAUAAAAUAAAAUAUAUAAAAUGUAAAAGUAAUUUAUUUCAGCAAUUUUUUAAUUUUCUGUAUUUUAACUUUAUCUGAUAUAUAUGCAAUGAAUUAAAAAAUACACAUUACAUACAUACAUGGGAUUAUUCUUAUUUAAAACUAAAAUCAUUUUAAAUAAUUUUGUUAUUAAAAAUGUCAACUAAAAUUAAAUAAAAUAUUUUUAAAAACUUAAAAAAAUAUGACAAUUUUAAGUUUAGUUUAAGUAACAGAAUAACUAAAACUGGAAAACUAUAUAGACUUAUUCAAACUUAAUCAAAUAAAAAAAUUAAAAACAUUCAAAUAUGAAUAAAGACUAUAUUAGUAUCUCAAUGAUACUGCUUUACUACAUUGUUGUUUGGUUGCUAGGUUGUUAUUGGUGGUUGCUAGGCAGUUGCUAACACGUGAGUCACUAGAUGUCAUUCAGUAAGAUUUUAGAGCUAUAAAAUGAACGUUGCUCAUUUUAUGUUUGGGUUCUUAUUGAGAUUUUGAUUGCAGACUUUGGUCACUGGAAAGUUGAGCUCAGCUUGAGACUCAUGUGAGUUCAACUUUUUUCAGGAGAAACAUCUGAGAAGCAGCACGACUCGGCAGAACUUUGUCACCGCAGUAAAAAGCGGAUUAUGCAAUGUCUGGCAACCCUACUGCUGUUUACAUAUCAAACCGUGUUCAGUUUCAGUGUCACAGACAGAAAACGUGACAACUGCAUGAAAAUGAAAACAUCAAAUCAGUCACCAAGAACUGAGUGUUUGGGAAAAAUGUUUGCUGUGUUUAAAAUUCGAUCGGGUGAAAGAAAAUAAAUGUAAUAUAAUAUAUGUGUGUGU
Molecule: long non-coding RNA, 1999 nt
Organism: Cyprinus carpio carpio
Lineage: Eukaryota; Metazoa; Chordata; Actinopteri; Cypriniformes; Cyprinidae
Source: Ensembl